AUUGAACGCUGGCGGCAUGCCUUACACAUGCAAGUCGAACGGCAGCACGGGAGCAAUCCUGGUGGCGAGUGGCGAACGGGUGAGUAAUAUAUCGGAACGUGCCCGGUCGUGGGGGAUAACGUAGCGAAAGCUACGCUAAUACCGCAUACGAUCUACGGAUGAAAGCGGGGGAUCGCAAGACCUCGCGCGAUUGGAGCGGCCGAUAUCAGAUUAGGUAGUUGGUGAGGUAAAGGCUCACCAAGCCGACGAUCUGUAGCUGGUCUGAGAGGACGACCAGCCACACUGGGACUGAGACACGGCCCAGACUCCUACGGGAGGCAGCAGUGGGGAAUUUUGGACAAUGGGCGCAAGCCUGAUCCAGCAAUGCCGCGUGCAGGAUGAAGGCCUUCGGGUUGUAAACUGCUUUGUACGGAACGAAACGGUGAGCUCUAAUACAGUUUGCUAAUGACGGUACCGUAAGAAUAAGCACCGGCCAACUACGUG
Molecule: ribosomal RNA, 483 nt
Filed under: uncultured bacterium
Lineage: Bacteria
Description: bacterial SSU rRNA
Rfam family: Bacterial small subunit ribosomal RNA
Source: RNAcentral